This 500-nucleotide ribosomal RNA is filed under the name uncultured bacterium. Its description in RNAcentral is "partial 16S ribosomal RNA". It matches the Rfam family "Bacterial small subunit ribosomal RNA", at positions 30 to 523 of the family's 1533-position model. The record is from RNAcentral.
AUUGAACGCUGGCGGCAUGCUUUACACAUGCAAGUCGAACGGUAACAGGGUGCUUGCACCGCUGACGAGUGGCGAACGGGUGAGUAAUGCGUCGGAACGUGCCGAGUAGUGGGGGAUAACGCAGCGAAAGUUGUGCUAAUACCGCAUACGUACUGAGGUAGAAAGUGGGGGACCUUCGGGCCUCACGCUACUCGAGCGGCCGACGGAGGAUUAGCUAGUGGGUGAGGUAAAGGCUCACCUAGGCGACGAUCAGUAGCGGGUCUGAGAGGAUGAUCCGCCACACUGGGACUGAGACACGGCCCAGACUCCUACGGGAGGCAGCAGUGGGGAAUUUUGGACAAUGGGCGAAAGCCUGAUCCAGCCAUGCCGCGUGUCUGAAGAAGGCCUUCGGGUUGUAAAGGACUUUUGUCAGGGAGGAAAUCCCUAGUGCUAAUAACACUGGGGGAUGACAGUACCUGAAGAAUAAGCACCGGCUAACUACGUGCCAGCCGCCGCGGUAA